This 253-nucleotide ribosomal RNA is filed under the name uncultured bacterium. Its description in RNAcentral is "partial 16S ribosomal RNA". It matches the Rfam family "Bacterial small subunit ribosomal RNA", at positions 524 to 776 of the family's 1533-position model. The record is from RNAcentral.
GACAGAGGUGCCAAGCGUUAGGCGGAAUCACUGGGCUUAAAGGGCGCGUAGGCGGGGUGGCAAGUCUGUGGUGAAAUCCUCCGGCUCAACCGGAGAACUGCCGUGGAUACUGCCAUUCUCGAGGGGUGUAGGGGCAUGUGGAACUCAGGGUGGAGCGGUGAAAUGCGUAGAUAUCCUGAGGAACGCCGGUGGCGAAAGCGACGUGCUGGACACCUACUGACGCUGAGGCGCGAAAGCCAGGGGAGCGAACGGG